This 633-nucleotide ribosomal RNA is filed under the name Cellulomonas denverensis. RNAcentral's name for it is "bacterial SSU rRNA". It matches the Rfam family "Bacterial small subunit ribosomal RNA", at positions 64 to 709 of the family's 1533-position model. Lineage: Bacteria; Bacillati; Actinomycetota; Actinomycetes; Micrococcales; Cellulomonadaceae. The record is from RNAcentral.
GAACGGUGAACUCCAGCUUGCUGGGGGGAUCAGUGGCGAACGGGUGAGUAACACGUGAGCAACCUGCCCUUGACUCUGGGAUAAGCCUUGGAAACGGGGUCUAAUACCGGAUACGAGACGCUCGGGCAUCCGAAGCGUCUGGAAAGAUUUAUCGGUCAGGGAUGGGCUCGCGGCCUAUCAGCUUGUUGGUGGGGUAGUGGCCUACCAAGGCGACGACGGGUAGCCGGCCUGAGAGGGCGACCGGCCACACUGGGACUGAGACACGGCCCAGACUCCUACGGGAGGCAGCAGUGGGGAAUAUUGCACAAUGGGCGCAAGCCUGAUGCAGCGACGCCGCGUGAGGGAUGAAGGCCUUCGGGUUGUAAACCUCUUUCAGCAGGGAAGAAGCGAAAGUGACGGUACCUGCAGAAGAAGCGCCGGCUAACUACGUGCCAGCAGCCGCGGUAAUACGUAGGGCGCAAGCGUUGUCCGGAAUUAUUGGGCGUAAAGAGCUCGUAGGCGGUUUGUCGCGUCUGCUGUGAAAACUCGAGGCUCAACCUCGGGCUUGCAGUGGGUACGGGCAGACUAGAGUGCGGUAGGGGUGACUGGAAUUCCUGGUGUAGCGGUGGAAUGCGCAGAUAUCAGGAGGAACAC